This 403-nucleotide ribosomal RNA is filed under the name uncultured bacterium. RNAcentral's name for it is "partial 16S ribosomal RNA". It matches the Rfam family "Bacterial small subunit ribosomal RNA", at positions 28 to 526 of the family's 1533-position model. The record is from RNAcentral.
GACGAACGCUGGCGGCGUGCCUAAUACAUGCAAGUCGAACGCAGUGGGGACGGGUGAGUAACACGUGGGUAACCUCCCAUCAGAGGGGAUAACACUUGGAAACAGGUGCUAAACCGAUACUGAUGGAUGAACCCGCGGUGCAUUAGCUAGUUGGUGAGGUAACGGCUCACCAAGGCCACGAUGCAUAGCCGCCCUGAGGGGGUGAUCGGCCCCCCUGGGACUGCGGCACGGCCCCGACUCCUACGGGAGGCAGCAGGAGGGAAUCAUCGGCAAUGGGCCGAAGUCUGAACGCGCAACGCCGCGUGAGUGAAGAAGGUUUUCGGAUCGUAAAGCUCUGUUGUUCGAGAAGCGGUAACUAACCAGAAAGGGACGGCUAACUACGUGCCAGCAGCCGCGGUAAUAC